CAGAAGCAUCGACUCAUUUCUCCAGCUCGAGACCCGCGACGGUGACCCAACCGGAACUCCCGCGUCCGGCAACGACACAACGGCGCACCGGUCAUGUUCUACGCGUCUUGUCGUCGUGGUUCUGUCUAUGGUCACGGAUCAUCCAUGCAGGGAGCGAGGAGAGAGAGAGAGAGAGAGAGAGAGAGAGAGAGUCGAAGCCCAAAAGCUUCUAGUUUUCCGGCGAUCAUCGGGGAUGCAUGAGGUAUGGAAAUCGAUCCUCUCGGUGAGCUCUAGGUACUGGUAUACUUAGUUUUUAGUUUUUGAUGGGUUUUGAUGGAUUGAUGUUUUGAUGGGUGUCGGGUACCGGCGGAGCCGCUGUCCUCUUUGGUCGUUCUAUGCUUCUGGGCUCAUAUCCGACAUCUUGGAGCAUCGUCUGAGGUCCGGGGAAUCCCAGCUCAUUGGUUUGGUUGCAUUGAGAAGUUUGGAGUGGGUGGAAUGUGGAGGUGAUCAAUAACAGGACAAGGUUGCUUCGUUCUGUGUUGUGAAGUGAAGGCUAUAGGUAAAGGACUCCAGUUACCCGAGGAACGGAAGGUUGGUGAAUUCCGGACAACGCAAAACGGUAAAGCUUCGAAAUCCAGGUACUGUGCACUGGUGACGGGAUUGACGGACGGAGCAGGGUGCGCGGAGAUAGUUUCGGUGAAUAGUAGUAACUGAAUUCAGGUUCUGUGUCUAGUCUUGAGCUCUAUCACUUGAGAGUCGUUAAUUUGGAACUUAUUAUUCCUUAUUUUGUCUUGUAUCGGAGUGUACCAACUCUUAUUUACCCUAGCGGUGAUCUAGAAGUGCUUUAGACGAAUAAGUUCGAUAAAUGAUUCUAAAAAGUUUUCACCUCAAAAAGUAUUUAGACGUUUCCGCUACGCGAUUUAUGAAAAGCGAUUUUAACUAAAAUGCCUUGCGGGUUUUUAGGAUGUAAACUGAACAUUCAGUUUAUGUCUUAGAGACACGCGGCACUGGGACGUGCUCAAGCUGAUGAGGUGCAGUUUGGGGCGUUACACCGUUUUCCGACGCGUUUCGUACCCGUUUCCAGUUUCGAUACGGGAUACGCGGGCAUUUUCGCGUUUCCGUGCAUCAUAGAUGAAAUCCAAUACACUUUGAUUCUCAGCUUGGGAAGAACCCAUGACGCAAAUGGUUUCUGUUUGUUUUAGGAUCCCAAAUACCCUUCUGAGUGUAAAGAAAUGCAGGAACCAAGUGUCUCGGAAAACUGAAGUGCGGGCUCAUGGAUUUUCAAGCUCGGCCAAAAGCCAUAGAAAAUAGAAACUCAAAUGAGGACUACAGGAGACUGAAAGGAAGUCAGGCGGUUUUCCUUUUUUUUUCGAUGACAAAGGAAGUCAGGCGGUUGAGAGUUAAAAACUUAAAAUGUGUUGUAAAUAUUAUUAUCUAUAUGGAUGUUCAUGUAAAUACUCAUUAGUUAUGUACUUUGAUAUAA
Molecule: long non-coding RNA, 1462 nt
Organism: Rosa chinensis
Lineage: Eukaryota; Viridiplantae; Streptophyta; Magnoliopsida; Rosales; Rosaceae
Exons: 3
Source: RefSeq, a predicted model, not a curated record